GACAGACGAGUAGCUUGCUCCUCUGACGUUAGCGGCGGACGGGUGAGUAACACGUGGAUAACCUACCUAUAAGACUGGGAUAACUUCGGGAAACCGGAGCUAAUACCGGAUAAUAUAUUGAACCGCAUGGUUCAAUAGUGAAAGACGGUUUUGCUGUCACUUAUAGAUGGAUCCGCGCCGCAUUAGCUAGUUGGUAAGGUAACGGCUUACCAAGGCAACGAUGCGUAGCCGACCUGAGAGGGUGAUCGGCCACACUGGAACUGAGACACGGUCCAGACUCCUACGGGAGGCAGCAGUAGGGAAUCUUCCGCAAUGGGCGAAAGCCUGACGGAGCAACGCCGCGUGAGUGAUGAAGGUCUUCGGAUCGUAAAACUCUGUUAUUAGGGAAGAACAAAUGUGUAAGUAACUAUGCACGUCUUGACGGUACCUAAUCAGAAAGCCACGGCUAACUACGUGCCAGCAGCCGCGGUAAUACGUAGGUGGCAAGCGUUAUCCGGAAUUAUUGGGCGUAAAGCGCGCGUAGGCGGUUUUUUAAGUCUGAUGUGAAAGCCCACGGCUCAACCGUGGAGGGUCAUUGGAAACUGGAAAACUUGAGUGCAGAAGAGGAAAGUGGAAUUCCAUGUGUAGCGGUGAAAUGCGCAGAGAUAUGGAGGAACACCAGUGGCGAAGGCGACUUUCUGGUCUGUAACUGACGCUGAUGUGCGAAAGCGUGGGGAUCAAACAGGAUUAGAUUCCCCUGGUAGUCCACGUCGUUAAACGAUGAGUGCUAAAUUGUUNAGGGGGUUUCCUCCCCCUUAUUGCUUGNAGCUUAUGUAUUUAAGCUCUUCUGCCUGUGGGA
This 838-nucleotide ribosomal RNA is filed under the name Staphylococcus sp. RNAcentral's name for it is "bacterial SSU rRNA". It matches the Rfam family "Bacterial small subunit ribosomal RNA", at positions 68 to 880 of the family's 1533-position model. The record is from RNAcentral. Lineage: Bacteria; Bacillati; Bacillota; Bacilli; Caryophanales; Staphylococcaceae.